AUUGAACGCUGGCGGCAGGCCUAACACAUGCAAGUCGAGCGAGCGGCGGACGGGUGAGUAAUGCCUAGGAAUCUGCCUGGUAGUGGGGGAUAACGUCCGGAAACGGUAGCUAAUACCGCAUACUAUCAGAUGAGCCCAGAUGGGAUUAGCUUGUUGGUGGGGUAACGGCUCACCAAGGCGACGAUCCAUAGCUGGUCUGAGAGGAUGACCAGCCACACUGGAACUGAGACACGGUCCAGACUCCUACGGGAGGCAGCAGUGGGGAAUAUUGCACAAUGGGCGCAAGCCUGAUCCAGCCAUGCCGCGUGUAUGAAGAAGGCCUUCGGGUUGUAAAGUACUUUAAGCGGGGAGGCGUUACCCGCAGAAGAAGCACCGGCUAACUCCGUGCCAGCAGCCGCGGUAAUUC
RNAcentral lists this ribosomal RNA (406 nucleotides) under uncultured bacterium. RNAcentral describes it as "partial 16S ribosomal RNA". It matches the Rfam family "Bacterial small subunit ribosomal RNA", at positions 30 to 526 of the family's 1533-position model. The record is from RNAcentral.